CUCUCCUGCUUUUCCACUUCCUCUUUCUUCUUGCUCUGUUCCUUGGGAGUGGUGUGGCUCGGUUUGGUCUCUGCAAUUGCAUCCAUUGCUAAUCCAAGCAAGGGAAAAAAUGGACAGGUUGAAGCACCUGCAUCAUCAAAACAGUAUCAGAUCUCAACAGAAAGCCCCUUUUUUGCAUGAACACCUUGCAAGUUUCUGAGAAGCAGCUGCGUUCCAAGAUGGACUGAGCAAAUACUGAAAAUGCCCCGGUUUUUAAUAACCUGGUAGCAGUAUAGGAAAGAGAUGAGAGUUCUGAAGAAGUAGGAACACAGUGUGGAUGUGUCCUCUCUCCUUCAUAAAUAAUGGUUGUUGAAGAUGAGCUUUAAAAGGAAAGGUUUCCCGGUUUCCUGCAGGAAAAGUUGAGUGGAAGAGAGCAUUUUACCCAUAAUACAUCCUUAGUCUUUUUUGGAAGAGAUGUGCGGAACCCAUUUGUGAUAAAAAAAAAGUUAAUGUCUGAAUGAAUUUAACAUUUCCGUAUUGUCACAUUUAACAGGUUUAAACUUAAUAAAGUGAAUUAUUGA
Long non-coding RNA from Anolis sagrei ordinatus, 560 nucleotides. RefSeq lists it as uncharacterized. The record is from RefSeq and is a predicted model, not a curated record. NCBI's taxonomy places the organism in Eukaryota, Metazoa, Chordata, Lepidosauria, Squamata, Anolidae.